Molecule: ribosomal RNA, 916 nt
Filed under: Staphylococcus sp. P7
Lineage: Bacteria; Bacillati; Bacillota; Bacilli; Caryophanales; Staphylococcaceae
Description: bacterial SSU rRNA
Rfam family: Bacterial small subunit ribosomal RNA
Source: RNAcentral
GGGAUUGGGGGGGGUCCUAAUAAUGCAAGUCGAGCGAACAGACGAGGAGCUUGCUCCUCUGACGUUAGCGGCGGACGGGUGAGUAACACGUGGAUAACCUACCUAUAAGACUGGGAUAACUUCGGGAAACCGGAGCUAAUACCGGAUAAUAUAUUGAACCGCAUGGUUCAAUAGUGAAAGACGGUUUUGCUGUCACUUAUAGAUGGAUCCGCGCCGCAUUAGCUAGUUGGUAAGGUAACGGCUUACCAAGGCAACGAUGCGUAGCCGACCUGAGAGGGUGAUCGGCCACACUGGAACUGAGACACGGUCCAGACUCCUACGGGAGGCAGCAGUAGGGAAUCUUCCGCAAUGGGCGAAAGCCUGACGGAGCAACGCCGCGUGAGUGAUGAAGGUCUUCGGAUCGUAAAACUCUGUUAUUAGGGAAGAACAAAUGUGUAAGUAACUAUGCACGUCUUGACGGUACCUAAUCAGAAAGCCACGGCUAACUACGUGCCAGCAGCCGCGGUAAUACGUAGGUGGCAAGCGUUAUCCGGAAUUAUUGGGCGUAAAGCGCGCGUAGGCGGUUUUUUAAGUCUGAUGUGAAAGCCCACGGCUCAACCGUGGAGGGUCAUUGGAAACUGGAAAACUUGAGUGCAGAAGAGGAAAGUGGAAUUCCAUGUGUAGCGGUGAAAUGCGCAGAGAUAUGGAGGAACACCAGUGGCGAAGGCGACUUUCUGGUCUGUAACUGACGCUGAUGUGCGAAAGCGUGGGGAUCAAACAGGAUUAGAUACCCUGGUAGUCCACGCCGUAAACGAUGAGUGCUAAGUGUUAGGGGGUUUCCGCCCCUUAGUGCUGCAGCUAACGCAUUAAGCACUCCGCCUGGGGGAGUACGACCGCAGCGUUGAUACACAGAGAAUAUUUUUGACACGGGAAUAUA